RNAcentral lists this ribosomal RNA (485 nucleotides) under uncultured bacterium. RNAcentral describes it as "bacterial SSU rRNA". It matches the Rfam family "Bacterial small subunit ribosomal RNA", at positions 30 to 507 of the family's 1533-position model. The record is from RNAcentral.
AUUGAACGCUGGCGGCAUGCCUUACACAUGCAAGUCGAACGGUAACAGGGAGCUUGCUCCGCUGACGAGUGGCGAACGGGUGAGUAAUAGUAUCGGAACGUACCAUUGAGUGGGGGAUAACGUAGCGAAAGUUGCGCUAAUACCGCAUAUUCUCUCCGGAGGAAAGCAGGGGACCGCAAGGCCUUGCGCUCAUUGAGCGGCCGAUAUCAGAUUAGCUAGUUGGUGGGGUAAAAGCUCACCAAGGCGACGAUCUGUAGCGGGUCUGAGAGGAUGAUCCGCCACACUGGAACUGAGACACGGUCCAGACUCCUACGGGAGGCAGCAGUGGGGAAUUUUGGACAAUGGGGGCAACCCUGAUCCAGCCAUGCCGCGUGAGUGAAGAAGGCCUUCGGGUUGUAAAGCUCUUUCAGCCGGGAAGAAAACGCAUUGGUUAAUACCUGAUGUGGAUGACGGUACCGGAAUAAGAAGCACCGGCUAACUACGUG